This is a long non-coding RNA of Papaver somniferum (opium poppy), 3235 nucleotides long. RefSeq lists it as uncharacterized. Lineage: Eukaryota; Viridiplantae; Streptophyta; Magnoliopsida; Ranunculales; Papaveraceae. The transcript has 9 exons. The record is from RefSeq and is a predicted model, not a curated record.
UGUGAUGUCCCGACUUUGCAUAUUUAUUUUUGAUUAUACGAUGAUUAUUAAAAAAUUAUACGGUGAUUAGUGAAACAUUUAUUACUAAUCCUCCUCGAUGUCUACUGGAUGAUUUUUGUUUUUAAUCAAACAGAAAAUUUCAUCUUACUCUUCAAUCUUCAUCACUGACUUCUUCUGUUCCUCUUCUUUUUCUCAUUCUUCUUAUCUCUCUUAAUUGUUUCCUUCAUCUUCUAUUCUCGUCAUUCAAGGCAACCAGGGAGCUUUAUUUUCUGGAAGAGAGCAGGUUUUGCAUUUCUUUUCUCUCUCAAUUGUUGUGUUAGGGGGGAAAGAAGCAUUGAAAUCAUCGUAGAUCCAGGUUAUUCAAUUCUGUUGAUGAAUAGGUUUUUAUUUCUCUGUCUUAUUAUCUAGGGUUUUGAUUCUCUUACCCUAUGGAAUAGAAUCUAUCUAUUUCCUUAAAAUCUCUUCUUCUUUAUGCUUGAGGUAACCAGAUUUUGUGGAAUUUAUACAAUAAAUAGUGAUUAAUUUGGAUAUUUAGGGAUUGAAAACGAAAAUUGAACUUAGGGGUUGAUCUUAAUUGAGGAUUUUUUGCUGAAAAUUUGCGUUUUUUGUUUCUGCAUAUACGGAGGUUGGUUUUAAAUCUGAACGAGAGAUGUGUAAUUGCUAAUAGCUGAUCUUGGAAGGAAAAUCAAAACCUGGGUUUUGGAUUUUGAUGUUCAAAUGUAGUUCCUUUUUGAGUUAUUGGUUGCAGGAUUGAUGAUUUUUGUCACAAGUGAUUGUUAGAGAGUUGGGGUUGUUGAUUUAAGAAAUUAUUAUCUAAUGAAGUGAGAGUAGAGUAGAAUAAUGUACUCUUUGGAGCAGAUUCUGUGUCGGAAUCAUCGAUUGGAGCUGCUACAGAUGUAAUUUAAUUCCAGCAGGUUUCGUUUGGAUUAGUGGCUCUUUUACAAGGCUAGAAGAGUUCCUGCGACAAAGGUCACCAAGGUGACUCCUGUCCCUGGUGUUUCCUUGAAAAUGCAGCAAAGUACAAAGACUGAUGCAAGAGGGUGUUUAGCUGAUUUAUAUCUUGAAGAACAGAUAACUUGAGACCCGUCACAACAACAUCCUACUCCUUGCAUGAAAGAUGUGGAUAUAUUAGUGUCUGACUGAAUAAUCCUAAUGAAGACAAGACUGAGGUUGCUGAGAACUACAGCAUGGUCCAGUGAUUACAGAUAUUGAUUCUGAUCAGGAGGAUCCUCUGAUGUGCAGCCUCUACGCACCAGAUAUCUACAUCAAAUCACGUGUCUCAGAGGUUUUGAAGUUCCCAAUGCAAAUUGGUUUUUCAGCUUAUCUGAAGACCUUGUUUCAAUUAUAUGGAAACUUUACAAAACGACAUAAGUCAAACCAUGCGGGGCAUUUUAAUCAAUUGGCCGGUGGAGGUGUCUGAGGAAUAUAAGUUAGCUUCAAAUACAUCUACCUAACUGUAUACUUUGUCCAUCGGUUUGUAUCUCAAAAUUUCAUUGAAAGGCAAAAACUUCUACUGGCUAGGGUCACUUGCAUGCUCAUGGCUUCGAAGUACGAAGAGAUUCGUGUCGAAGAGUUCUGCUUCAUCACAGAUAAUACAUACUCAGGCGACGAGGUGUGUGCCAAUUGCCACCUGAAUCUUCAAUGCAGUUUUUAUUUUCCUGUUCGAAUGUUGACUAUACUCAUGGCUGGUACUGAAAAUGGAGGGCGAAGUACUAAACUAUCUGUGCUUUCAGUUAUCAGCACCUACAGUUAAAACGUUUCUUUAGGCUUGUUGCAAUCAUGGAGGCUGCAGUGAUUCACAUGUAGAGAAAACUAAUGGCUCCAAUUUAGAGGAAGAUGCGUGCACUGACUCACAGUUGGCUGACAGUGAACAGGCCACUUAUGCUUCUGCCAACAAUGACCUAAAGGGUACUAAAGCAUAUCAGGAAGCUCAUGUUCCCGGACUUUAUAAUCUUGCCAUGGCCAUAAUUGAUAACAGGGGUCACAGAGUAGUGGCACAGGUGAUAUGAAUGGUUAUGGAUAUGAAGUGCUGGUGGCGAUUGAAGCAACCUGGUGGUAGUGGUUGAAGGCUGUAGAGAUGUUGUCGUUGUUUAAUGAAGACAGAAGAGAUGUUAUCGGAUGGCUGCCAAUGUAAAGCUAAACCUGUAAAUGUUGAACAUUUGAAUGUAAAGCUGUUAACAGAGCUACGUAGCCUACAUUUUUCAGACAAAGUCGGGGCUAUAGCUCAGUUUGCUUGAAGAAGGUCAGAUUCACUCCAUUUCCUCUCCAAGAGAAAUGGAGCUAGCGAUCUCAAAUAUUCACAAUGCAGUGGAUGAAAGCUGGGAUAUCCCAGAUUGUAUGCCAGAGUUGGACAAACUGUUGCAACAAUAUAUCCAGGAGGUUCAGUUCGCUGUGCAUAUGGAGUUAAUUUGGACUUAAAGCAAUACAGGUGAAGGUACUACAAAGACAGCUUAUGAAUACUGCAGACCUGAAAAGCCAGCUGACACUAACUUGUCGAAAUUGUAGGAUCCCAGAACGCCUCAGAGAAGAGCCUGGACUGGGUAGAAGUUGUUACAUAAUCCAGUGCCAUUUAGGGCUUUUUUUAUACUCUAGUUGAAUGUUCGAAAGGAUAUAGAGGUCUGGGGGCUGAUUUAGAUUUGUUAGUUUGUGUGUUGUCAGUUUUGCAUUGUGAUAUUGAAUUUCUUAAUGAAGAGUAGAAUGAGUUUGUUAGGUCUGUGAUAUCCUUAGAAUUUUUUGAAAGAGUUGGUAGAUUGGUAAAACUUCUCCUUAGAAUCUUUUAAAAGAGUUGAUAGAUUGGUUACUGUUUUUUUUUCUUGAUUGUGAAAUUCCUAGAAAAGUUAAGUUGAAAAGGUUUUUGAGAUUCUGUCAAAUUCAUUCUGGUAUAAUAUUUAGGGAAACUUAGGUUGCAUUCCACCGAUAACCUUUUGAAAGUUAAGACAUUGUUGAAAAGUACUUGUAAGGUUGCCAUAGUGGGUGUUGCUGGAGUCAUGGAGACAUUUGAGUAGUUGAAAUGGAACACACAGCUGAAGGUUCUGUACCGAACAACCAACAACCGAGUCUGCAGGGGACAGAUUCUGCUACCCUUGUUCAAAGUAACUCAAGCAGUUUUUGGUACAUUUGUUCCACCAUAUUUUGCUUCACUCCCAUGUAUAGUUAAGGCAGUUUUUGAACCACCAGUGGGAUUAUUAUAGAGAGCAUCAUAUUAAAUUUAUAUACUUUUGGAAUUUGAAAACUA